UACGAAGGGGGCUAGCGUUGUUCGGAAUCACUGGGCGUAAAGGGCGCGUAGGCGGCUUUAUAAGUCGGGGGUGAAAGCCUGUAGCUCAACCACAGAAUUGCCUUCGAUACUGUUUGGCUUGAGACCGGAAGAGGUUAGUGGAACUGCGAGUGUAGAGGUGAAAUUCGUAGAUAUUCGCAAGAACACCAGUGGCGAAGGCGGCUGACUGGUCCGGUUCUGACGCUGAGGCGCGAAAGCGUGGGGAGCAAACAGG
This 253-nucleotide ribosomal RNA is filed under the name uncultured bacterium. RNAcentral's name for it is "partial 16S ribosomal RNA". It matches the Rfam family "Bacterial small subunit ribosomal RNA", at positions 524 to 776 of the family's 1533-position model. The record is from RNAcentral.